CAGCGGCGAGGUUGGCCAAACUCCGAACUUUGUCCCCUAUGCAAACAAGUCCAAGAAUAUGCCGCCCAUCUUCUCUUCCAAUGUAGAUUCGCUGCCCGCAUCAGGAACGAGGUGGCCGUCUAGCUUGGCAUUCAUGACCACUCACCAUUGACUUGGCACCAUGAAGGCAUGCUUCAAGAUUGGUGGCUGAAGACGGUUAACACGCGAGGGCAUAUCAAGAAAGCUAUUGGCUUUGUUCUAAUGCUCGUCGUGUGGGAAAUUUGGAAGGAGUGAAAUGCAAGAGUUUUUCGCAAGAUGGCUUCGUUGACCACUAUUAUUGUUGCCAAGAUCAAAGAGGAGGCCCAUCUUUGGGUGUUGGCGGGAGCCAAAGACGUGAGUGCAGCUAUGUCGCGAGAGCAGUCUAUUAUUUUGCCGCUUUGCAGCUUUUGUCUAAACCUUCUCUUUAAUUAA
RNAcentral lists this ribosomal RNA (450 nucleotides) under Triticum aestivum (bread wheat). Its description in RNAcentral is "partial small subunit ribosomal RNA". Lineage: Eukaryota; Viridiplantae; Streptophyta; Magnoliopsida; Poales; Poaceae. The record is from RNAcentral.